UAAGGAAUAUUGCGCAAUGGACGAAAGUCUGACGCAGCGACGCCGCGUGGGGGAUGAAGGUCUUCGGAUUGUAAACCCCUUUCGGGUGGAAAGAUGGUUCACGACAACGUGAACGGACGGUACCACCAGAAGCAGCCACGGCCAACUUCGUGCCAGCAGCCGCGGUAAUACGAAGGUGGCAAGCGUUGUUCGGAUUUACUGGGCGUACAGGGUGUGUAGGCGGUUCGGUAAGCCCUUUGCUAAAUCUCUG
RNAcentral lists this ribosomal RNA (250 nucleotides) under uncultured bacterium. RNAcentral describes it as "partial 16S ribosomal RNA". It matches the Rfam family "Bacterial small subunit ribosomal RNA", at positions 355 to 605 of the family's 1533-position model. The record is from RNAcentral.